This 496-nucleotide ribosomal RNA is filed under the name uncultured bacterium. RNAcentral's name for it is "partial 16S ribosomal RNA". It matches the Rfam family "Bacterial small subunit ribosomal RNA", at positions 28 to 506 of the family's 1533-position model. The record is from RNAcentral.
GAUGAACGCUGGCGGCGUGCCUAAUACAUGCAAGUCGAGCGAACAGACGAGGAGCUUGCUCCUCUGACGUUAGCGGCGGACGGGUGAGUAACACGUGGAUAACCUACCUAUAAGACUGGGAUAACUUCGGGAAACCGGAGCUAAUACCGGAUAAUAUAUUGAACCGCAUGGUUCAAUAGUGAAAGACGGUUUUGCUGUCACUUAUAGAUGGAUCCGCGCCGCAUUAGCUAGUUGGUAAGGUAACGGCUUACCAAGGCAACGAUGCGUAGCCGACCUGAGAGGGUGAUCGGCAACACUGGAACUGAGACACGGUCCAGACUCCUACGGGAGGCAGCAGUAGGGAAUCUUCCGCAAUGGGCGAAAGCCUGACGGAGCAACGCCGCGUGAGUGAUGAAGGUCUUCGGAUCGUAAAACUCUGUUAUUAGGGAAGAACAAAUGUGUAAGUAACGAUGCACGUCUGGACGGUACCUAAUCAGAAAGCCACGGCUAACUACGU